This 1395-nucleotide long non-coding RNA is filed under the name Marmota monax (woodchuck). The record is from RNAcentral. Lineage: Eukaryota; Metazoa; Chordata; Mammalia; Rodentia; Sciuridae.
CCUCAGGAAGCCUUCCCUGACUGCAGCCUGGCUGUCAGCCCUGGCUGGCUCCUGCUACCCUGCUCUAGACCUCGUAGCUGUGCAUCUGGGUGGUCAGCUUGGGUGCUGCUGCUGCCUCCCGAUCAUCCCAGUGCCCAGCCCAGUACCUGAUACACAGUAGGUGCUCCAUAAAUGUUGAUUGAAUGACUGUCAUGUGUAAAGCAUAAGAACAGGCAUUCGUUUAUCCUAGUACUGAGUGCCACACUUGAAGGUCACUCCCGGGCUGGGGAUGUGGCUCAAUGGGCUGGGGAUGUGGCUCAAGCGGUAGCAUGCUUGCCUGGCAUGCGUGCGGCCCGGGUUCGAUCCCCAGCACCACAUAUAAACAAAGAUGUUGUGUCCGCUGAGAACUAAAAAAUAAAUAAAUAUUUAAAAAAAAAAAAAAAAGAAGGUCCCUCCCUUGAGCACGCCACGUUUCUGGAAUCUCCAUGAUUUCCACCUCCUUCCUAAACCCACUGAACUCCCCUCACCUCUGUUCCUCUCCCUGCCAGUCUGUGCCCUGUGCCCCUACUCCUCCCCCACCAGCCCUGCCUAGUGCCCUCACUCCAAGGUCUGUCUCCCAACAUUCCUCCUCCCCACUGCCCCUGACUCGCCUCACUUUACCCUUUUUAUAGAACACAUCCCCAGUUCAAAAGUAACUCCAGGCUGGGCACUGUGGCACACACCUGUAAUUCCAACUACUCAGAAGGCCAAGGCAGGAGGAUGGCAUGUUCAAGGCCAAACUGCAACUUAGUGAGACUCUGUCAAAAUAAGAAAUAAAAAGAAUGGGAUGUGGCUCAGUGGCUGAGCAUCUGGGGUUCAAUCAGCAGUACCACACACACAAAAAAAGUAGUGCAUGUAUCACUGAACCCAUGACACUGUGGGUUUUAAGAUGUGCUGUUAAUUUAUGGACUAGUAGGAGGAGCAGCUAAACUGAUACGUAGGUUAUAAGACACACCUGAAUUCAGAGAAGAUGCCAUUUGAAAAACUGUUCUUAUCAGAUGCUGGGAGCCAUUAGCCAAGUAGGUAUGACAAUUUCCUUGCCAGUGUACCCCAUGUUGCUUAGUGGAAGGACUCGUGGAAAUAGGACAUUUUGCAGUGACAUUGCAUGUAGGUGACCUUGCUCAAGGACCAGGGCGAAUCCAGGUUUAGGGUGUUCCCGGUUUAGGGCAUUCCAGGUUUAAGGUUAUUCCUGCUGGGAAUAGGGCGUAUCCUGCUGCCUGAGUUCCCCUUGAGUUCUCACGGGAUUCAGACAGUAUUUUUUGGGAGACAGAAGCCCAGUGGGUGUGAAUUUGGGCAGAGAACGUGGAUUUCCCCAGAACAUGAUUGUAGACGGCUGGUGUGAGUUCCGGAAUAAAGAGUUGCUGUUUGAAUCUACAA